Molecule: transfer RNA, 63 nt
Filed under: Polychrus marmoratus (common monkey lizard)
Lineage: Eukaryota; Metazoa; Chordata; Lepidosauria; Squamata; Polychrotidae
Description: partial tRNA-Trp
Source: RNAcentral
AACCUUAGGUUAAACUAAACCCUGGACCUUCAAAGCCCAAAAUAGGAAGCAAUCUCCUAGUUU